RNAcentral lists this ribosomal RNA (468 nucleotides) under uncultured bacterium. Its description in RNAcentral is "partial 16S ribosomal RNA". It matches the Rfam family "Bacterial small subunit ribosomal RNA", at positions 28 to 507 of the family's 1533-position model. The record is from RNAcentral.
GACGAACGCUGGCGGCGUGCUUAACACAUGCAAGUCGAACGGAAAGGCCCUGCUUUUGUGGGGUGCUCGAGUGGCGAACGGGUGAGUAACACGUGAGUAACCUGCCCUUGACUUUGGGAUAACUUAAGGAAACUGGGGCUAAUACCGGAUAGGAUCUCCUGCUGCAUGGUGGGGGUUGGAAAGUUUCGGCGGUUGGGUAUGGACUCGCGGGUUAUCAGCCUGUUGGUGGGGUAGGGGCUUACCAAGGCUUUGACGGGUAGCCGGCCUGAGAGGGUGACCGGCCACAUUGGGACUGAGAUACGGCCCAGAAGCGUACGGGAGGCAGCAGUGGGGAAUAUUGCACAAUGGCCGGAAGCCUGAUGCAGCAGCGCCGCGUGCGGAAUGACGGCCUUCGGGUUGUAAACCGCUUUCGCCUGUGACGAAGCGUGAGUGACGGUAAUGGGUAAAGAAGCACCGGCUAACUACGUG